UACGUAGGAUGCAAGCGUUGUCCGGAAUUAUUGGGCGUAAAGAGCGCGCAGGCGGUAUGACAAGUCAGAUGUGAAAGAGGCCGGCUUAACCGGCAAGGGUCAUUUGAAACUGUCAGACUAGAGUGCAGCAGAGGAUAGUGGAAUUCCCGGUGUAGUGGUGAAAUGCGUAGAUAUCGGGAGGAACACCAGUGGCGAAGGCGGGUCUCUGGGCAACAACUGGACGCUGAGGAGCGAAAAGCGUGGGGAGCGAACAGG
This 255-nucleotide ribosomal RNA is filed under the name uncultured bacterium. Its description in RNAcentral is "partial 16S ribosomal RNA". It matches the Rfam family "Bacterial small subunit ribosomal RNA", at positions 524 to 776 of the family's 1533-position model. The record is from RNAcentral.